GAUGAACGCUAGCGGCAGGCUUAACACAUGCAAGUCGAGGGGCAGCAUAAUGAAGUAGCAAUACGGAAUUGAUGGCGACCGGCGCACGGGUGCGUAACGCGUAUGCAACCUACCCAUAACAGGGGGAUAACACUGAGAAAUUGGUACUAAUACCCCGAUGUCACCUUUAUGGUGCAUGCCAUAUUGGUUAAAGUUAUUCGGUACGGGAUGGGGAUGCGUCUGAUUAGGUUGUAGGCGGGGUAACGGCCCACCUAGCCGACGAUCAGUAGGGGUUCUGAGAGGAAGGUCCCCCACACUGGAACUGAGACACGGUCCAGACUCCUACGGGAGGCAGCAGUGAGGAAUAUUGGUCAAUGGGCGAGAGCCUGAACCAGCCAAGUAGCGUGCAGGAUGACGGCCCUACGGGUUGUAAACUGCUUUUANGCGGGAAUAAAGAUAUCUACGUGUAGAUAGUUGCAUGUACCGCAUGAAU
RNAcentral lists this ribosomal RNA (472 nucleotides) under uncultured bacterium. RNAcentral's name for it is "bacterial SSU rRNA". It matches the Rfam family "Bacterial small subunit ribosomal RNA", at positions 28 to 487 of the family's 1533-position model. The record is from RNAcentral.